RNAcentral lists this long non-coding RNA (1133 nucleotides) under Heterocephalus glaber (naked mole-rat). The record is from RNAcentral. Lineage: Eukaryota; Metazoa; Chordata; Mammalia; Rodentia; Bathyergidae.
CACAUGACUGCUGAGAUAAACCUGUGAACUUUCCCUUACAGAGACUCCGUCCUGUGCUAGACCUUGGAGGUCAAAAGCAAGCUUUGGUCUAAGUGGGGCUGGUUUGGAAAGCCUUCAACAUAGCACAAGAGCUCGCUCAUCAGAAGUCUUCUAAUUAGCACAUUCUUAUUUCUACCUGAAAUGUAUGAAGCCCAAAAAUAAUCAAUGCCUGACUUCAAUUCUAGGAAAAGAAAAGGACAGUUGGCAGUGUCUCACUAUGGAGCCCAGGUUGGCCUCAAACUUGCAGUGAUCCUCCUGCCUCAGCCUCCCAAGCGCUUAGCAAAGUCUCCAUCUUUUUAUUCUCUGAGGAGAAGUCCUCUUCCAUACCAUAUGCUUUGUCUUGGAGAGAAGAUAAAGGAGAUGAGGGAAGGUGGAAGUCCUGACUUACUGGCCUCUUAAGCCAAAUGAAGAAACCGGAGCUGGGUCUAUGGCUAUACCAUCCUGAACGCGCACAAUCGCAUCUGAUCUUGGAAGCUAAGCAGGGUCGGGCCCGAAGUGCAAAGGGUUUAACUCAGGAAGAAGCAGCACCAUGAAGUGAGCCAGACCUCAUUCACACCUUCCUGCUGUGGCUCCACUCACCCACUGCAGAGUCUACCAAUUCUUUCCUCAGACUUGGCAUAAAUUGGAGGGAAAGAUGUUUACCAGAAUGGAUGGAUGGCUGGAUAGAUGGAUAGAUGGAUAGACAAAUGGAUUAAUCUCAGGGAGUCUUGCAAUGUUCUUCCAUGUGUUUGUGGCAGAAAACACUUUGAUGUGUUUUUAGAAUGCUAUUUCUAAUACUUCAAGUUCAAAUAUCGAGGCUGAAAAAAACAAAGACAUUCUAUCUCCAAAAAGAAGGCAGUACAAUAGAGCUCAACAGCACGAGCUUUGGAGUCAUUCAGUCCUUAUUAACACCUCUGAAUUUCUGUUUCUUCAUGUAUAAAAUGAUGGUAAUAACAGUACCUUUCUCAAAGAUGGUUGCUAUUUGAAUUAACUAAAAUAACUUUUGGAUAAUAUCAGUAAUUUACUGCUUAUAAAAUAGGGAGCACUUGAGAAAUUAUAACUCUAACUCACUGAAAAGAUUUCUGUUGAGGUUAUUAUAGGCUUAGUUCUAUCAC